GGAUGUGAGGGCAAUCUGGCUGCGACAUCUGUCACCCCAUUGAUCGCCAGGGUUGCUCCAGCUGAUCUGGCUGGCUAGGUGGGUGUCCCUUUCCUCCCUCACAGCUCCAUGUGUGUCCCUCCCGAAGCUGCGCGCUCAGUUGAAGAGGAUGGCCUUCCCCGAAGAGAGACGGACCGGUCUUCGGUCGAGGGUAUAUGAGUAGCUGCGCUCCCUUGCUAGCACCUCCAAACAAGCUCUCAAGAAAGAAAGAAAGAGACCAAACAAGAAAGAAAGAAAAA
RNAcentral lists this small nuclear RNA (278 nucleotides) under Erinaceus europaeus (western European hedgehog). Its description in RNAcentral is "7SK RNA". It matches the Rfam family "7SK RNA", at positions 1 to 293 of the family's 331-position model. From Rfam's summary of the family: 7SK was discovered as an abundant small nuclear RNA in the mid-70s but a possible function has only recently been suggested. Two independent studies have found that 7SK RNA binds the CDK9/cyclin T complex (known as elongation factor P-TEFb). P-TEFb activates transcription by phosphorylating the C-terminal domain of RNA polymerase II. Lineage: Eukaryota; Metazoa; Chordata; Mammalia; Eulipotyphla; Erinaceidae. The record is from Rfam by way of RNAcentral.